RNAcentral lists this ribosomal RNA (147 nucleotides) under Bacillus wiedmannii. RNAcentral's name for it is "23S rRNA. Bacterial LSU". It matches the Rfam family "Bacterial large subunit ribosomal RNA", at positions 2778 to 2925 of the family's 2925-position model. The record is from RNAcentral. Lineage: Bacteria; Bacillati; Bacillota; Bacilli; Caryophanales; Bacillaceae.
CAUCUAAGCAUGAAGCCCCCCUCAAGAUGAGAUUUCCCAUAGCGUAAGCUAGUAAGAUCCCUGAAAGAUGAUCAGGUUGAUAGGUUCGAGGUGGAAGCAUGGUGACAUGUGGAGCUGACGAAUACUAAUAGAUCGAGGACUUAACCA